AGGACAGAGAUCUCAACAUCCCAGAUCCCACGGACAUCCGUGCGGAACUCGAUAUUCCCAUUCCUGAUCCCAUCAAGGAUAAACUGAAGGAGGAAGAGAGAAAGAAGAGAGAAGAAGCAAAGAAGGAGAAAGGGAACGAGAAGGAGGAGAAGAAGAAAAAGAGGAUGAGGAUGAGGGCCCCCCCUGCGGCCCCAUCCCGAGCAAUGAGAGGAUCUCGGCUCUGAUCACCAGGAUUAAAGCGGAGAUCAGGAUCCUGAAGGAGAGCAGCAGCAUCGUCAGCCUCUGGAUACAACUGCAGAUUCCGAAGAUUGAAGAUGGGAACAACUUUGGAGUCGCUGUGCAGGU
Molecule: long non-coding RNA, 345 nt
Organism: Stegostoma tigrinum
Lineage: Eukaryota; Metazoa; Chordata; Chondrichthyes; Orectolobiformes; Stegostomatidae
Exons: 4
Source: RefSeq, a predicted model, not a curated record